RNAcentral lists this ribosomal RNA (497 nucleotides) under uncultured bacterium. RNAcentral describes it as "partial 16S ribosomal RNA". It matches the Rfam family "Bacterial small subunit ribosomal RNA", at positions 28 to 507 of the family's 1533-position model. The record is from RNAcentral.
GAUGAACGCUGGCGGCGUGCCUAAUACAUGCCAGUCGAGCGAACAGAUGAGGAGCUUGCUCCUCUGACGUUAGCGGCGGACGGGUGAGUAACACGUGGAUAACCUACCUAUAAGACUGGGAUAACUUCGGGAAACCGGAGCUAAUACCGGAUAACAUGUUGAACCGCAUGGUUCAACAGUGAAAGACGGUCUUGCUGUCACUUAUAGAUGGAUCCGCGCCGCAUUAGCUAGUUGGUAAGGUAACGGCUUACCAAGGCAACGAUGCGUAGCCGACCUGAGAGGGUGAUCGGCCACACUGGAACUGAGACACGGUCCAGACUCCUACGGGAGGCAGCAGUAGGGAAUCUUCCGCAAUGGGCGAAAGCCUGACGGAGCAACGCCGCGUGAGUGAAGAAGGUCUUCGGAUCGUAAAACUCUGUUAUUAGGGAAGAACAAAUGUGUAAGUAACUAUGCACGUCUUGACGGUACCUAAUCAGAAAGCCACGGCUAACUACGUG